Arabidopsis thaliana (thale cress) is the source of this 107-nucleotide small nucleolar RNA. It matches the Rfam family "Plant small nucleolar RNA R71". From Rfam's summary of the family: R71 is a member of the C/D box family of snoRNAs containing the C (UGAUGA) and D (CUGA) box motifs. Multiple nearly identical copies of this snoRNA have been identified in Arabidopsis, and it is thought to function as a 2'-O-ribose methylation guide for 18S ribosomal RNA. The record is from Rfam. NCBI's taxonomy places the organism in Eukaryota, Viridiplantae, Streptophyta, Magnoliopsida, Brassicales, Brassicaceae.
AAUCCGUGAUGAGGGCAUUUGGUUUGAUAACCCUUAAAGCGUUCCCAAGCUUCAUAGAAGCUUUCAUUUUGCUUCUGAGUGAAUCCCGAGAUCUCAUUCUGGAGUCU